UACGGGGGGGGCAAGCGUUGUUCGGAAUUACUGGGCGUAAAGGGCUCGUAGGCGGCCAACUAAGUCGGACGUGAAAUCCCUCGGCUUAACCGGGGAACUGCGUCCGAUACUGGAUGGCUUGAGUUUGGGAGAGGGAUGCGGAAUUCCAGGUGUAGCGGUGAAAUGCGUAGAUAUCUGGAGGAACACCGGUGGCGAAGGCGGCAUCCUGGACCAACACUGACACUGAGGCACGAAAGCGUGGGGAGCAAACAGG
This 253-nucleotide ribosomal RNA is filed under the name uncultured bacterium. Its description in RNAcentral is "partial 16S ribosomal RNA". It matches the Rfam family "Bacterial small subunit ribosomal RNA", at positions 524 to 776 of the family's 1533-position model. The record is from RNAcentral.